GACGAACGCUGGCGGCGUGCUUAACACAUGCAAGUCGAACGGAAAGGCCUGCUUUCCCUGUGGAUUUCGGGUACUCGGGUUGCGAACGGGUGGGUAAAACGUGAGUGAUUUGCCCCCCACCUUGGGAAUAGCCUGGGAAACCGGGGCUAAUUUCCGAUAGGGCUGCAGGGUGGGGGCUGGGGGGGGAAAAGGUUUUCUAGUGGGUGGGGAUGAGCUCGCGGCCUAUCAGCUUGUUGGUGGGGUAAUGGCCUACCAAGGCGGCGACGGGUAGCCGGCCUGAGAGGGUGGACGGCCACAUUGGGACUGAGAUACGGCCCAGACUCCUACGGGAGGCAGCAGUGGGGAAUAUUGCACAAUGGGCGGAAGCCUGAUGCAGCGACGCCGCGUGGGGGAUGACGGCCUUCGGGUUGUAAACUCCUUUCGACCGCGAGGAAGCCACCUGGUUGGAAGGGUGGUGACGGUAGUGGUAGAAGAAGCACCGGCUAACUACGUG
This 493-nucleotide ribosomal RNA is filed under the name uncultured bacterium. RNAcentral describes it as "partial 16S ribosomal RNA". It matches the Rfam family "Bacterial small subunit ribosomal RNA", at positions 28 to 507 of the family's 1533-position model. The record is from RNAcentral.